GCCGAAGCAAAUAGCUAGACAAAACUACAAAAUACCCUUACUUAUUAAACCAAAUCAUUUAACUUAGGCCAGUAAAUGAGAUUAAACCCCACCCUUUAGCCUAAUAAGUACCGCAAGGGAAAUAUGAAAGAACAAUGAAAUACUUAAAGUACAACACAGCAAAGAUAAAUCCUUGUACCUCUUGCAUCAUGGUUUAGCAAACACCCUCAGACAAAGAGAACUUAAGCCUGACCCCCCGAAACCAAACGAGCUAUUUCUAAGCAGCCUUACAUCAGAGCACAACCAUCCCUGUGGCAAAAGGGUGGAAAGACUUGGAAAUAGAGGUGAUAAACCAACCGAGCUUGGUGAUAGCUGGUUACUCAACAAAAGAAUUUUAGUUCAACCCAGAUAUUCAACUAAGCCUAAAUAUCCCAACUUUUACUUACCAUCUGAGGAAAAUCAACGGAGGUACAGCUCCAUUGAUCCGGAAUACAGCCCGAACUGAGAGAAACACCAACUUUUUUUCCCAAGUAGGCCUCAAAGCAGCCACCACUAUAACUGCGUUACAGCUUUAACCUAACUAAAUUUAAACAGCUUAAUAAACCUCCAGACCAAACUAUGAGUUAUUUUAUAAAACUAUAAAAACACUAAUGCUAAAACUAGUAAUAAGAAUAUUUCUCUCCGCACACCCUUAAAUCAGUAAUAGAAAGCCUACUGACAAUUAACAUAUUACAAAUAUAACAUAAACACACAAGCAUUUAUGUUUAUUCAUACUGUUACCCCAACACAGGAGUGCAAAAAAGAAAGGUUAAAAAAUGUAAAAGGAACUCGGCAAUCUUAAGUCCCAACUGUUUACCAAAAACAUAGCCUUUAGCUUAACAAGUAUUAAAGGUCUCACCUGCCCAGUGACUUUUUAAACGGCCGCGGUACCCUAACCGUGCAAAGGUAGCAUAAUCACUUGUCCCCUAAAUAGGGACUAGAAUGAACGGUCAAAUGAGGACUAAACUGUCUCUUAUAUUCAACCAAUAAAACUGAUCUCUUAGUCCAAAAGCUGAGAUAUAACCAUAAGACGAGAAGACCCUGUGGAGCUUCUAAACCAGACUCAUUAACCAUGCCCAUCUGGUUUUUAGUUGGGGCGACUUCGGAGUACAAAAAAACCUCCGACACAGAGUAAUCCUCUACACCUAGAUUAACACACCAAAAUAAUAAUACCUGAUCCAGUAGUUAUUCAACUAUCUGAUUAAUGAACCAAGUUACCCCAGGGAUAACAGCGCCAUCCUCUUCUAGAGUCCAUAUCGACAAGAGGGUUUACGACCUCGAUGUUGGAUCAGGACACCCAAAUAGUGCAGCCGCUAUUAAUGGUUCGUUUGUUCAACGAUAAAAGUCCUACGUGAUCUGAGUUCAGACCGGAGAAAUCCAGGUCGGUUUCUAUCUAUGUAGUGACACUCCCAGUACGAAAGGACCGAAGUGACAGGACCUAUACUACAAAAGCACGUCCUACUAAACAUUACUGACAUUACUAAAGUAACACAUGCCUUCACCCACACCCCAAAAAUAGGGAUU
RNAcentral lists this ribosomal RNA (1542 nucleotides) under Australolacerta australis. RNAcentral's name for it is "partial large subunit ribosomal RNA". It matches the Rfam family "Bacterial large subunit ribosomal RNA", at positions 372 to 2828 of the family's 2925-position model. The record is from RNAcentral. Lineage: Eukaryota; Metazoa; Chordata; Lepidosauria; Squamata; Lacertidae.